CAGCCAUCCAGUCACCAUGAAGAUCCUGUAUCUGGUGUUUUUGAUGCUCUUUGUGAUCUCCUAUGCUGGCACAGGGUAUGGCGGAUUAUUUACAAAUUUCCGAUGUGAUCUGCUUGGGGGUGUUUGUAUAGAAGGAUUUUGUAGAUAUCCUGUUUUGAAACUUGGUACCUGUAAGACAAAAGAAAAGAAGAUGUGUUGUAUAAAAGAAUAUACAAGUGACUGAUGCCACAGGGGAAAAACUGAAGGUUAUAGCCACUGGAGAGUUCUCAGGGAGCAAGAGUAUGUCCAGCACAUUGUGCAAAGGAUAUCUAUCCUCUCUAUAUCUAUUAUAUAUCUAUAAGCUACAGGGCUUAGAGGGGAAAGGAGAAUUUCCUAGACUCAAGACAAAGCUCAAAAAAUAACAAUGUCAGACCUGUGACCAGAGACACUACCCUCUACACCCCAGAACUAAAGGUGAUUAUAAUAACAAGUUGAUAUAAAAAAGACAAAACAAAAAUGACUUAAGGAGAAAGAACCCAACCAUUGACAGUUAUUAUAGGCAUAGAGAAGAUCUGAGGUUUGUCUUCAGAGAAUUCUAAAGCAAAAACAUAAAAAAGUCUCUUCUAUGCCAAAGAAUAACAUCAAAUGAUCAUCUACCCAAAAAGAAUUCAUAGAAGAAUUAAAAAAAAAAAACUAAAAAUCAAAUUAUUGAGGAAAAAUUAAAAAAAAUAAGAAGAACCUCCCCAAAACAAGAUAAUGAAAAGAAAAUCAAUCUAAUGGAAAAGGAAAUCCAAAAUCUCCUUGAAAAUUAGGAAUGGGCAUGGGUAAACUAUAGUGAAGUAGAGUAAAAAAUAAAAUAAAAUAUAAAGAAUGAAAAAAUAGAAGAGAAUGUGAACUAUCUCAUAAGAAACAUAACUGAUCUGGAGAACGAUCAAGAAGAGAAAACAAAGAAUAAUCAAAUUACUUGAAAGCUAUUGUUAAAAAUCAUGAUUAAAAAAUACAAGAAAUAUUUAAACAAAAUUGUCCAGAAGUGUUAGUGGAAGAGUGGAAAAUAGAAAAAGAAGAAAACACACUGAUCACCAUCUGAACGAAAUACUUAGAGGAAAGCCUACAGGAAUAUCAUUGCUAAAUUGCAGUCCUCCCCCCCUCUUCCCCUGAAAAUAUUAUGAGCAGCAAGAAAAAAGAAAAACAAUUCAAAUACUGCAAAGCUACAAAAGACUUCACACUAUAUAUUGAAAAGCAAAAGAAUGUAACUUAUGGCCAAAAAUUAAAGCAAAGUUAUGCAUGAACCUGAACAACCAAAGAAAUAUUCAAGGAUAUUCAAGGAGUUGCCAGGUUUUUAGGAUUUUAUUACCAAAAAACCUGUACUUAAUAGAAAAUUUGACAUACAAGAUCCAAGAGGUAAGGUAAAUGGCAAAGACGAAAUACAAGGGAUUCAAUAAAGACAAGUGAUUUAUUUUUUAUACAUGGGAAGGUAAACCUUAUUUAUAUUGGUAAUUGGGUAAUGCAAAGGAAAGAUUGGGAGUAGAGCUGAGUAUAAUAUGAUUUGAAAAAGCAAAACCAUAUAGGAAAAGGUAAAAAGAGUGAUUAUCUCAUACAAAUGAAGUGCAAGAGGAAGAACUGAUUAUAGAUAGCUAUGU
Molecule: long non-coding RNA, 1619 nt
Organism: Sarcophilus harrisii (Tasmanian devil)
Lineage: Eukaryota; Metazoa; Chordata; Mammalia; Dasyuromorphia; Dasyuridae
Exons: 3
Source: RefSeq, a predicted model, not a curated record